UACGUAGGGUCCGAGCGUUGUCCGGAAUUACUGGGCGUAAAGAGCUCGUAGGUGGUUUGUCACGUUGUUCGUGAAAACUCACAGCUUAACUGUGGGCGUGCGGGCGAUACGGGCAGACUAGAGUACUGCAGGGGAGACUGGAAUUCCUGGUGUAGCGGUGGAAUGCGCAGAUAUCAGGAGGAACACCGGUGGCGAAGGCGGUUCUCUGGGCAUUACCUGACGCUGGAGGAGCGAAAGUGUGGGGAGCGAACAGG
This 254-nucleotide ribosomal RNA is filed under the name uncultured bacterium. RNAcentral describes it as "partial 16S ribosomal RNA". It matches the Rfam family "Bacterial small subunit ribosomal RNA", at positions 524 to 776 of the family's 1533-position model. The record is from RNAcentral.